This 464-nucleotide ribosomal RNA is filed under the name uncultured bacterium. RNAcentral describes it as "bacterial SSU rRNA". It matches the Rfam family "Bacterial small subunit ribosomal RNA", at positions 28 to 507 of the family's 1533-position model. The record is from RNAcentral.
GACGAACGCUGGCGGCGUGCUUAAUACAUGCAAGUCGAACGAUCCCGGGGCUUCGGCCCCAAUGGGAGAGUGGCGAACGGGUGAGUAACACGUGAGAAACCUGCCCCGGAGAUUGGGAUAACCCAGAGAAAUUUGGGCUAAUACCGAAUACCCUGCGAGUGCUGCAUGGCACCCGUAGGAAAGGUUCCGGCGCUCUGGGAGGGUCUCGCGGCCUAUCAGCUUGUUGGUGAGGUAACGGCUCACCAAGGCAUCGACGGGUAGCUGGUCUGAGAGGACGAUCAGCCACACUGGGACUGAGACACGGCCCAGACUCCUACGGGAGGCAGCAGUAGGGAAUCUUGCGCAAUGGGCGAAAGCCUGACGCAGCAACGCCGCGUGGGGGAAGAAGGCUCUCGGGUCGUAAACCCCUUUCAGCAGGGACGAAAAUGACGGUACCUGCAGAAGAAGGGCCGGCCAACUACGUG